Molecule: ribosomal RNA, 71 nt
Filed under: Yersinia enterocolitica
Lineage: Bacteria; Pseudomonadati; Pseudomonadota; Gammaproteobacteria; Enterobacterales; Yersiniaceae
Also listed under: 8 other names
Description: partial 16S ribosomal RNA
Rfam family: Bacterial small subunit ribosomal RNA
Source: RNAcentral
AAAUUGAAGAGUUUGAUCAUGGCUCAGAUUGAACGCUGGCGGCAGGCCUAACACAUGCAAGUCGAGCGGCA